This 253-nucleotide ribosomal RNA is filed under the name uncultured bacterium. RNAcentral describes it as "partial 16S ribosomal RNA". It matches the Rfam family "Bacterial small subunit ribosomal RNA", at positions 524 to 776 of the family's 1533-position model. The record is from RNAcentral.
UACAGAGGUGGCAAGCGUUGUUUGGAAUUACUGGGCGUAAAGGGCGCGUAGGCGGCCUACUAAGUCAGACGUGAAAUCCCCCGGCUUAACCUGGGAACUGCGUCUGAUACUGGAAGGCUUGAGGAUGGGAGAGGGAUGUAGAAUUCCAGGUGUAGCGGUGAAAUGCGUAGAUAUCUGGAGGAAUACCGGUGGCGAAGGCGGCAUCCUGGACCAUUACUGACGCUGAGGCGCGAAAGCUAGGGGAGCAAACGGG